RNAcentral lists this transfer RNA (86 nucleotides) under Insectozyma bohioensis. RNAcentral's name for it is "Candida bohioensis tRNA-Ser". Lineage: Eukaryota; Fungi; Ascomycota; Pichiomycetes; Serinales; Debaryomycetaceae. The record is from RNAcentral.
GGUCAAUUUUACUUAUUGGUACAGUUAAAUUAUUUGCUAUAUAAUUCCUAUAAUAUAGGGUCAGUGUUCGAUUCACUGAUUGGCCG